Non-coding RNA from Pelobates cultripes (western spadefoot toad), 229 nucleotides. Lineage: Eukaryota; Metazoa; Chordata; Amphibia; Anura; Pelobatidae. The record is from the annotation of a GenBank genome assembly.
CUGCAAUACCGUCGCCGGCCAGCAGGGGUCGCUGUGUGGAGAGAGGAACAGAUAGAAAGUUACAUCAUCUCCCUCCCUGCCUCUCUCUACUCACUGAUCCGCGGGGGAGCAGCUCUGAACAUAGAUUCCAGUCAGCAGCUCAGGUAAGUGAGGGAGACCAGUGUGAGCACAGGCUGCAGGGAGACACUGAGAGACAUGGGACUGUGUGAGACAUGAGACACUGAGAUAC